AUUGAACGCUGGCGGCAUGCCUUACACAUGCAAGUCGAACGGCAGCACGGCUGCUUGCCUGUCGGCGCGAGUGGCACGCGGGUGUGAAGUACAUCGACAUACGUACUCGAGGGGGGGAUAACCCCGCGAGAGGCGCAUUUAUACCGCAUGCGCUCUACGGGAGAAAGGGGGGGAGCUUGGCCCCGCGCGCUUGGAGUUUCGGAGGUCGGAUUAGCUAGUUGGUGGGGUAAAGGCCUACCAAGGCGACGAUCUGUAGCUGGUCUGAGAGGAUGAUCAGCCACACUGGGACUGAGACACGGCCCAGACUCCUACGGGAGGCAGCAGUGGGGAAUUUUGGACAAUGGGGGAAAGCCUGAUCCAGCAAUGCCGCGUGAGUGAAGAAGGCCUUCGGGUUGUAAAGCUCUUUUGGCCGGAAAGAAACGCUUGGCCCUAAUACAGUCGGGGGAUGACGGUACCGGAAGAAUAAGCACCGGCUAACUACGUG
This 484-nucleotide ribosomal RNA is filed under the name uncultured bacterium. RNAcentral describes it as "partial 16S ribosomal RNA". It matches the Rfam family "Bacterial small subunit ribosomal RNA", at positions 29 to 507 of the family's 1533-position model. The record is from RNAcentral.